UUUCACAUCCAUGGCAUGUGGAAUUUUCAGGGCUCAAACCCAUGUCACAGCAGUGACCCAAACUGCUGCAGUGACAACACAGGAUCCUUAAUCCACUGAACCACAAGGGAACUCUCAGGCUUAAAUCUUAAAUUCAGGGGUCACCAAAACCACCAACUCUACCUCUGGAAGAAAAAACCCCUGCCUUCCCCUUUCGUUGCCUUUGUGUGAGCGUGUGGGGCCACCUCGGUUUCCCAGCCGCCGUCCCUCCUGCAGCUUGGGGUGCAGCUUAAUUAAGAGCCCAGCCGCUCGAUUAGUCUUGAUCACCUCUCUAAUUGGGCACCAGCUGUGUUUUCUCACAACAAGGCCUCCUUUAUGGGACUUCUAAAAUGCCUUACAUGAAAAACCCUAACAGUUUCAGGAUUAUAGGAUCAUAAAACCAGGAAUGCCUGUUUUCUACAGAAGUGGAGAGUGCAUCUCUCUCUAUGUUCCAGAAAAUAUUUUUUGGGAAAGUUGGGAGGGAGAGUAUUGAACGUCAACUUCUCCAUUUGUUUAUGUUCUGGAUACGAAGGCCGAUUGCGGUUUUAAAGGAGUUUUGCAUAAUCACAGGUGUUGGUGCAUAAAGGACUCGGGAAGUUUCCUGGCAGAAAUGUGAGACUUGAGAAAUUGAACCAUGAAUGGCUCCAUUUAUGAACAGACACCCAUGAUUGACAGAAUGACUAUUAAUAGCGAACAUUAGCUGAGCCAUUCAUAUAGGCUCAACAUUAUGGCAAGAACUUGGAAUGGAUUGUCUCGUUUAACCUGGCAACGGCCUUCUGAGAUGGAUCUAAAUGUUCUCCCCAUUUUCAUAAUCAGGAAAGCAAGACCCAGAGAGGUGAAAUAAUUCAUGUUCAAGGUCACAUGGCUCACCAUUUAGGGACUGAAAGGGGACUGAAACUCAUGUGUGUUUCAUCCCAAAAUUCCCAUCUGUCUCUCUCCAACUAAACAAUGCAAUUAACUUGGCAGAACUCAAGUGCUCUGUUUGCAGCAAUUACAGUAUCAACCCUACUGUAUAUAAAAUAGGUAACAAGGACCUACUGUAGAGCACAGGGAAAUCUACUCACUACUGUGUAAUACCCUGUAUGGGAAAAGAACCUGAAAAGGAACGGAUUAUAUGUGCAACUGAUGUACUUUGCUGCACACCUGAAAUGAACACAAUGCUGUAAGUCAACUAUGCUCCAACAUUUCAAAAAAAAACCAAUAUCAACAGCAAUGACUCCUAAUUUUUGUGCAGAGUUUCAUAGCAACGAAAUUCACUUAUGUUUGCUCUCUCCUAUGAUACGAUAGCACUGUGAGAGAAACAAAGCAAUCUCUGUAACCCCAUUAUCACAAAUUGGGAACCUAGGUAAUAAUAAGGGGCUCGGUUAUAGACCCAGAGAUGCACCACCAGCAAAGAACAGAGUCAGACUGUUCUAAUUCCUACUCCAAACCCAGGGCCCCUUCCAUUAUUUCUCACCCCUCUCCCAAGGUGAUACUUUGCCCGGAGGAAGCCAGAUAUAUUUACGUAUGUUUUUUCCAUUCAUUCAUUUAUUCAUUCAUUCACUCCUUCAUUUGUUCAUAAAGUCAUAUUACAUUUUUGUUUUCCGUAUCCUGAUUAUUUCUAUUUACUUAGUUGCUGUCUCUCUCCCCUCCUUGGAAGAUAACCUGCAUGACCCUUGCCCUUAUUAUGGACAAUUACAUUUCCUCCCAAACAGUGCCUAGAAGUUAAAUUAUUUUUCAGUGAAUUCAAACAAAUAGUAAUUCAUUCACUCAGACAGUACUUAUUGAGCAUCUACUAUGUGCCAGGUAUAGGUAGGUCCUAGGCAUACUGCACAGAAUAAGACAGGCAUAAUUUCUCACAUCCAUGGAGUCUAUAUUCUAAUUUGGGUGGGUGCAUGGGAACUAAUACACAAGUAAAUAAACAAGAUAAUUUGUGCAGUGUGGAGACGUCACAGAGUGAUGUGAUGGAAAGUCACAAGUCACUGGAUUCUUGUCCCAGAGCUGUUCCCAUUCUGGUUGGACAGACCACACAACCAACAGGCAGCUUCCAUUUCCCAGGAACAGUGGGGGGGUUGCAAGCUCAGAGGCAGUGCCCUUUGCUCAGAAGACUUGGACUGGGUGGAGGCAGGGAAGACUUCCUGAGAAGGCAGCACCCAGUGGUUUUAAGACAAAUAGAAGUCAUCUAGGAAAGGGGAGGGUAAGAUUCCAAGCCUGAGCAGGGACAGGUGGCAGGAGGCCAACUGGCACAGGACAAGGGGUGACUGAGCCUAGAGUGUGAGGUGGGGACCAGGGGAAGAAAAGAGGUGAGGGCGAUGAGGAUGGACCAGAUCCAAGAGUAUCACGCUGUGAUGCUCAGUUUUAUGUGUUGACUUCGGGAGGCUACAGCUCCCAGUUAUUCAGUCAACACUAAUCUGGGUGUUGCUGUGAAGGUAUUUCGUAGACACAGGUAAUAUCUACAAUCAGUUGACUUGGAGAUUAUCCUCAGUAAUCUGGAUGGGACUCAUCUAAUCCAUUGACAGCCCUUAAGAAUAAAACUGAGGUUUCCCUGAGAAGGGAGAAAUUCUGCUUGCGGACUGCAGCGUCAGCUCCAGCCUGGCCUUCCCAGCCUUCAGCUUGACCUACACCUCUGGGGCUGGCUUAGCCAGACUCCUUGACUGCAGAAGCCAAUUCCUUGAACUCUAUCUCUAGAGAUAGUUAGAGAUAAAUAGGUAGAUAGGUAAAUAGACUGCUAAUCCCCUCCCGGUUUUCUUUCUCUAGUAGACACCUGGCUGAUGGACAGCCAACUAGCCAGCUAAGUGGACUUUAUCCUUAAGGUGGAGGCUUUGAGCAAAGGAGCAUAACCAGAUUUGUGUUUCUAAAACAUACUGGCUGCAGUGUCAAGUGAGUUAGAAGGGCAAGACUGGAGGGUGAUCAUGUCAGAACCCAAACUAAGUCACUGGCAGUGAGAAUGGCCUGGAAGAACAAGACCCAUUCAAGUGAUAUUAGGAAAGCAGAAUUGACAAGUCCUACUGUGCAGUUUCAUAUAGAUGGUGAAGGCAGUACCAGUAAGUGCCAGGUCCCUGGACAUCUUGGUAGAUGGAACAUACAUGCCACAAGAGCGGAAACUCUGACCUGUUCCCUGCUGUCCCCUUGGCACCUGGAGCAGUGCCUGUCACCCUGAAGCUGCUCCUUGUGCAUUUAAUGACCGGAUGGUGGUGCAGUUCCCUGAGACUCAGUGCGGUGUGUAUGGCUGGGUGGUGAGAAUGAGGGAUCUACAAGUGCAGCAUGGGGCGGGCAGAGUUCGAGGUAGCUGUCACACAGCCAGAAGAGAGGCUCAGAUGGAAGCUGGAGAGAUGGUCUGAGAAUGUGGAGACCUCUAGGAUGCAGGCUGAGCAUUGUGUCCUAAAUACGGAGAUGGACUUGAAACCAGGGCUCAGGGUACCCUUUG
This 3424-nucleotide long non-coding RNA is filed under the name Sus scrofa (pig). Its description in RNAcentral is "lncRNA (ENSSSCG00015006031.1)". Lineage: Eukaryota; Metazoa; Chordata; Mammalia; Artiodactyla; Suidae. The record is from RNAcentral.